Molecule: ribosomal RNA, 496 nt
Filed under: uncultured bacterium
Lineage: Bacteria
Description: partial 16S ribosomal RNA
Rfam family: Bacterial small subunit ribosomal RNA
Source: RNAcentral
AUUGAACGCUGGCGGCAUGCCUAACACAUGCAAGUCGCACGCGAAAGGGGGCAACCCUGAGUAGAGUGGCGGACGGGUGAGUAACGCGUAGGAAUCUACCUGGUAGUGGGGGACAACCCGGUGAAAACCGGGCUAAUACCGCAUACGAUCCACGGAUGAAAGCAGGGGACCGCAAGGCCUUGCGCUAUCAGAUGAGCCUGCGUCGGAUUAGCUAGUUGGUGGGGUAAAGGCCCACCAAGGCGACGAUCCGUAGCUGGUUUGAGAGAACGACCAGCCAGACUGGGACUGAGACACGGCCCAGACUCCUGCGGGAGGCAGCAGUGGGGAAUAUGGGACAAUGGGGGCAACCCUGAUCCAGCAAUGCCGCGUGUGUGAAGAAGGCCUUCGGGUUGUAAAGCACUUUCGGUGGGGACAAACAAGGUGGAGCUAACAUCUCCGCCUCUGAUGGUACCCAGAGAAGAAGCACCGGCUAACUCUGUGCCAGCCGCCGCAGUAA